Molecule: ribosomal RNA, 498 nt
Filed under: uncultured bacterium
Lineage: Bacteria
Description: partial 16S ribosomal RNA
Rfam family: Bacterial small subunit ribosomal RNA
Source: RNAcentral
AUUGAACGCUGGCGGCAUGCCUUACACAUGCAAGUCGAACGGUAACAGGUCUUCGGAUGCUGACGAGUGGCGAACGGGUGAGUAAUACAUCGGAACGUGCCUAGUAGUGGGGGAUAACUACUCGAAAGAGUGGCUAGUACCGCAUGAGAUCUACGGAUGAAAGCAGGGGAUCGCAAGACCUUGUGCUACUAGAGCGGCCAGUGGCAGAUUAGGUAGUUGGUGGGAUAAAAGCUUACCAAGCCGACGAUCUGUAGCUGGUCUGAGAGGACGAUCAGCCACACUGGGACUGAGACAGGGCCCAGACUCCUACGGGAGGCAGCAGUGGGGAAUUUUGGACAAUGGGCGAAAGCCUGAUCCAGCAAUGCCGCGUGCAGGAUGAAGGCCUUCGGGUUGUAAACUGCUUUUGUACGGAACGAAAAGCCCCGGGUUAAUACCCUGGGGUCAUGACGGUACCGUAAGAAUAAGCACCGGCUAACUACGUGCCAGCCGCCGCCGUAA